AACGAGUUUGUAAACAAGUCUUCUAAAUUUGUUCUAGGUUAACUCCUGCUCGUUU
RNAcentral lists this transfer RNA (55 nucleotides) under Litoditis aff. marina PmIII. Its description in RNAcentral is "tRNA-Ser". The record is from RNAcentral. Lineage: Eukaryota; Metazoa; Nematoda; Chromadorea; Rhabditida; Rhabditidae.